RNAcentral lists this ribosomal RNA (2316 nucleotides) under human gut metagenome. RNAcentral's name for it is "bacterial LSU rRNA". It matches the Rfam family "Bacterial large subunit ribosomal RNA", at positions 100 to 2460 of the family's 2925-position model. The record is from RNAcentral.
UGAUCCGCAGAUAUCUGAAUGGGGGAACCCACACCGUAAGGUGUAUCCGUAGCUGAAUACAUAGGUUACGGAGGCGAACGAGGAGAACUGAAACAUCUAAGUAUCCUCAGGAAAAGAAAUCAACCGAGAUUCCGGCAGUAGCGGCGAGCGAACCCGGAGGAGCCUAGCUUUUGAUAGUACGAACUUUAGCCGAAAGGUCCUGGAAAGGCCUGCUAUAGUGGGUGAUAGCCCCGUAGGCGAAAGAGUUGGUACGGUACUAAGGAAGCGAGAAGUAGAGCGGGACACGUGGAAUCCUGUUCGAAGACGGGGGGACCAUCCUCCAAGGCUAAAUACUCGUGAUCGACCGAUAGUGAACCAGUACCGUGAGGGAAAGGCGAAAAGAACCCCGGGAGGGGAGUGAAAUAGAACCUGAAACCGCAUGCAUACAAACAGUAGGAGCCUCGUCAGAGGUGACUGCGUACCUUUUGCAUAAUGGGUCAGCGACUUACAUUCUGUGGCGAGCUUAACCGAAUAGGGGAGGCGCAGCGAAAGCGAGUUCGAAAUGAGCGUUCAGUCGCAGGGUGUAGACCCGAAACCAGAUGAGCUAUCCAUGGCCAGGUUGAAGGUGUGGUAACACACACUGGAGGACCGAACCGACUAGUGUUGCAAAAUUAGCGGAUGAGCUGUGGAUAGGGGUGAAAGGCCAAACAAAUCUGGAGAUAGCUGGUUCUCCCCGAAAACUAUUGAGGUAGUGCCUCGUGUGUCGCUCCAGGGGGUAGAGCACUGUUUUGGCUAGGGGGACAUGGAGUCUUACCAAACCAAGGCAAACUCCGAAUACCUGGAAGCGUAAGCACGGGAGACAGAGCACCGGGUGCUAACGUCCGGACUCAAAAGGGAAACAACCCAGACCGCCGGCUAAGGUCCCAAAUAACAGCUAAGUGGAAAACGAAGUGGAAAGGCCGUGACAACCAGGAAGUUGGCUUAGAAGCAGCCAUCCUUCAAAGAAAGCGUAAUAGCUCACUGGUCGAGUCCUUCUGCGCGGAAGAUGUAACGGGGCUAAGCUGUUAACCGAAGCCGCGGAUGCGCUGGUUAUCCAGUGCGUGGUAGGGGAGCGUUCUGUAAGUCUGCGAAGGCGGUUCGAGAGGACUGCUGGAGAUAUCAGAAGUGCGAAUGCUGACAUGAGUAACGUUAAAGCAGGUGAAAAGCCUGCUCGCCGUAAGCCCAAGGAUUCCUGCUCUACGUUCAUCGGAGCAGGGUGAGUCGGCUCCUAAGGUCAGGCCGAAAGGCGUAGCCGAUGGGAAUCAGGUUAAUAUUCCUGAACCUGCGUCAGAUGCGAUGGGGGGACGGAGCAUGGAAGAUCAUCCGGGUGUUGGAAGUCCCGGUUGUUUAGCGUAGGAGGUCUGCAGGCAAAUCCGCAGACGCAUCUCCAAGGCAAAGACACGUGCCGCUACGGCGGCGAAGUGAUCGGAAGUGCUUCCAAGAAAAGCCUCUAAGCCCCAGUCUGACGCGGACCGUACCGCAAACCGACACUGGUGGGCGAGCUGAAUAUGCUCAGGCGCUUGAGAGAACUCGGGAGAAGGAACUCGGCAAAUUGACACCGUAACUUCGGAAGAAGGUGUGCCGUAGUACCGUGAGAGGAGAGACACCUUGAGCGGGAAACGGUCUCAGAGAAUAGGUGGCUGCGACUGUUUAUUAAAAACACAGCACUCUGCAAAGUCGAAAGACGACGUAUAGGGUGUGAUGCCUGCCCGGUGCUGGAAGAUUAAUUGAUGGGGUGAGAGCCCUUGAUCGAAGUCCCAGUAAACGGCGGCCGUAACUAUAACGGUCCUAAGGUAGCGAAAUUCCUUGUCGGGUAAGUUCCGACCUGCACGAAUGGCAUAACGAUGGCCACACUGUCUCCUCCCGAGACUCAGUGAAGUUGAAAUGUUUGUGAUGAUGCAAUCUACCCGCGGCUAGACGGAAAGACCCCAUGAACCUUUACUGCAGCUUUGCAUUGAACUGUGAACCGAUUUGUGUAGGAUAGGUGGGAGGCAGAGAAGAGGCCACGCCAGUGGCCUUGGAGCCGACCUUGAAAUACCACCCUGAUUUGUUUGCGGUUCUAACCACGGACAGUGAUCCUGUCUUGGGACCGUGCAUGGUAGGCAGUUUGACUGGGGCGGUCUCCUCCUAAAGGGUAACGGAGGAGUACGAAGGUACGCUAGGUACGGUCGGAAAUCGUGCUGAUAGUGCAAUGGCAAAAGCGUGCUUGACUGCGAGAGCAACAACUCGAGCAGAUGCGAAAGCAGGUCAUAGUGAUCCGGUGGCUCUGAAUGGAAGGGCCAUCGCUCAACGGAUAAA